UGCAAGUCGAACGGUGAACACGGAGCUUGCUCUGUGGGAUCAGUGGCGAACGGGUGAGUAACACGUGAGCAACCUGCCCCUGACUCUGGGAUAAGCGCUGGAAACGGCGUCUAAUACUGGAUAUGUGACGUGACCGCAUGGUCUGCGUCUGGAAAGAAUUUCGGUUGGGGAUGGGCUCGCGGCCUAUCAGCUUGUUGGUGAGGUAAUGGCUCACCAAGGCGUCGACGGGUAGCCGGCCUGAGAGGGUGACCGGCCACACUGGGACUGAGACACGGCCCAGACUCCUACGGGAGGCAGCAGUGGGGAAUAUUGCACAAUGGGCGCAAGCCUGAUGCAGCAACGCCGCGUGAGGGACGACGGCCUUCGGGUUGUAAACCUCUUUUAGCAGGGAAGAAGCGAAAGUGACGGUACCUGCAGAAAAAGCGCCGGCUAACUACGUGCCAGCAGCCGCGGUAAUACGUAGGGCGCAAGCGUUAUCCGGAAUUAUUGGGCGUAAAGAGCUCGUAGGCGGUUUGUCGCGUCUGCUGUGAAAUCCGGAGGCUCAACCUCCGGCCUGCAGUGGGUACGGGCAGACUAGAGUGCGGUAGGGGAGAUUGGAAUUCCUGGUGUAGCGGUGGAAUGCGCAGAUAUCAGGAGGAACACCGAUGGCGAAGGCAGAUCUCUGGGCCGUAACUGACGCUGAGGAGCGAAAGGGUGGGGAGCAAACAGGCUUAGAUACCCUGGUAGUCCACCCCGUAAACGUUGGGAACUAGUUGUGGGGUCCAUUCCACGGAUUCCGUGACGCAGCUAACGCAUUAAGUUCCCCGCCUGGGGAGUACGGCCGCAAGGCUAAAACUCAAAGGAAUUGACGGGGACCCGCACAAGCGGCGGAGCAUGCGGAUUAAUUCGAUGCAACGCGAAGAACCUUACCAAGGCUUGACAUAUACGAGAACGGGCCAGAAAUGGUCAACUCUUUGGACACUCGUAAACA
This 970-nucleotide ribosomal RNA is filed under the name Microbacterium sp. F177. Its description in RNAcentral is "bacterial SSU rRNA". It matches the Rfam family "Bacterial small subunit ribosomal RNA", at positions 56 to 1036 of the family's 1533-position model. Lineage: Bacteria; Bacillati; Actinomycetota; Actinomycetes; Micrococcales; Microbacteriaceae. The record is from RNAcentral.